This is a long non-coding RNA of Dermacentor andersoni, 340 nucleotides long. RefSeq lists it as uncharacterized. The record is from RefSeq and is a predicted model, not a curated record. Lineage: Eukaryota; Metazoa; Arthropoda; Arachnida; Ixodida; Ixodidae.
CGACAAACGGAACAUUUUGCACCCAGAACACAAGCGCUGCGGUUAUACGGCACUGGUAUGGAAGUGGAGUGUAUUGGACGACUCUGAAGGCGACAACAAUGAUAUUCGGCUCGGAACACUUCAUAGCAAUAAACAAAAAUGAUCGAAACAGGAUGAAUGAGACAUUCUCGAAAUGCCCGAAGUGGGAAGAGACUGCAAAUAUUCUGGCAUGUUGACGACAGUGGGUUGAAGGCCUUGCAGUGACACACCCUUUCAUUUUCCUCUGUAAAAUCUCACAGAAACAAGAUGCAAUGUAAAUGAAGCAUCUGAUACGUGGAAAGAAAGUGGAAUAAAUUGUUGU